RNAcentral lists this ribosomal RNA (534 nucleotides) under uncultured Thermoplasmatales archaeon. RNAcentral describes it as "bacterial SSU rRNA". It matches the Rfam family "Archaeal small subunit ribosomal RNA", at positions 339 to 874 of the family's 1478-position model. The record is from RNAcentral. Lineage: Archaea; Methanobacteriati; Thermoplasmatota; Thermoplasmata; Thermoplasmatales.
GCGCGAAAACUUCACACUGUGCGAAAGCACGAUGAGGGAAUCCCAAGUGCUGGCUCGUAAGAGUCAGCUGUUUUUCUGUCUAGAAAACAGAGAGAGUAAGAGCUGGGUAAGACGGGUGCCAGCCGCCGCGGUAAUACCUGCAGCUCAAGUGGUGGCCGCUAUUAUUGGGCCUAAAACGUUCGUAGCCGGUCUAGUAAAUGCCUGGGUAAAUCGUACGGCUUAACCGUACGAAUUCCGGGUAGACUGCUGGACUUGGGACUGGGAGAGGCUAGAGGUACUCCUGGGGUAGAGGUGAAAUUCUGUAAUCCUAGGGGGACGACCAGUGGCGAAGGCGUCUAGCUAGAACAGGUCUGACGGUGAGGAACGAAGCCCUGGGGCGCAAACGGGAUUAGAUACCCCGGUAGUCCAGGGUGUAAACGCUGCUUGCUUGAUGUUAGUCGGGCUCCGAGCCCGAUUAGUGUCGGAGAGAAGUUGUUAAGCAAGCUGCCUGGGGAGUACGGCCGCAAGACUGAAACUUAAAGGAAUUGGCGGGGG